AUGUACCGCGGGUAUCUCGUCCUCACUGCCUUCCUGGGGCAACUGCUGGAAACCAUGGGUCAGGUGUCUGUCACCCAGCAAGAAGGACAAGUCACCGUGGAGCAGAGAAACACCUUCCAGACCACUUGCACGUACCAGAGCUCCAGCUUUUAUGGUUUGCUCUGGUACCAGCAGAAGAAGGGCCAAGGCCCUCAGCUAAUUUCAAAUCAAGCAAUAGCAGGCACCAAGCAGAGCGUCCGUUUCACCACAGAGCUGAACAUCACGGGGAAAUACAGUGUUCUGCAGCUGAAAGAAGUUGAGCUCUCUGACAGCUCCUUGUACCUCUGUGCUGUGGAAGGCAGCGCAAGACUCAGCCUUGGUCGAGGCCUGAGGAGAGGUUCCCCCAUCCUCACCCCGUGGACCAAUAACCCCAUCCUCCAUCCUGUUCCUGUGGCACUGGCAGCGUGA
Molecule: non-coding RNA, 447 nt
Organism: Cygnus atratus (black swan)
Lineage: Eukaryota; Metazoa; Chordata; Aves; Anseriformes; Anatidae
Source: the annotation of a RefSeq genome assembly